AGCGAACGCUGGCGGCAGGCUUAACACAUGCAAGUCGAGCGGGCAUCCUUGUGGUGUCAGCGGCAGACGGGUGAGUAACGCGUGGGAACGUGCCCUUCGGUUCGGAAUAACUCAGGGGAACUUGAGCUAAUACCGGAUACGUGCGAGAGCAGAAAGGUUUAUCUGCCGAAGGAUCGGCCCGCGUCUGAUUAGCUAGUUGGUGAGGUUACGGCUCACCAAGGCGACGAUCAGUAGCUGGUCUGAGAGGAUGAUCAGCCACACUGGGACUGAGACACGGCCCAGACUCCUACGGGAGGUAGCAGUGGGGAAUAUUGCACAAUGGGCGGAAGCCUGAUGCAGCAACGCCGCGUGCGGGAUGACGGCCUUCGGGUUGUAAACCGCUUUCGCCUGUGACGAAGCGUGAGUGACGGUAAUGGGUAAAGAAGCACCGGCUAACUACGUG
RNAcentral lists this ribosomal RNA (442 nucleotides) under uncultured bacterium. RNAcentral describes it as "partial 16S ribosomal RNA". It matches the Rfam family "Bacterial small subunit ribosomal RNA", at positions 29 to 507 of the family's 1533-position model. The record is from RNAcentral.